Non-coding RNA from Phrynosoma platyrhinos (Desert horned lizard), 72 nucleotides. NCBI's taxonomy places the organism in Eukaryota, Metazoa, Chordata, Lepidosauria, Squamata, Phrynosomatidae. The record is from the annotation of a GenBank genome assembly.
GCCCGUGUGGUGUAAUGGUUUGUGCAUUGAACUACAACUCUGGAGACCAGGAUUCAAAUCCCUGCUCAGCCA